Molecule: long non-coding RNA, 2440 nt
Organism: Branchiostoma belcheri (Belcher's lancelet)
Lineage: Eukaryota; Metazoa; Chordata; Leptocardii; Amphioxiformes; Branchiostomatidae
Exons: 3
Source: RefSeq, a predicted model, not a curated record
GCAGUGGUUUCAAUAACUUGUCACCUACCAGUAUAAGAUGGAUGCCGCUACAGAUGUCAUCUUCUCAGCUUUAAAAGUUGCUUCAGCCCUGUUGACAAGUGUCCUGGUGCCCCUGCUAGCCGGCCUGUUGUUCUGUAUUUUCUCCCUGAUGUUGUUGUUCUUUGACGCCAGCGAGCCCACCGAUGUGUCACCACCAGCAUCGCUUUUAGCCAGGCUCAGGCGAGGUUGGGGGCCCAAUGGACUCCAGAUUGGACACUACAUGUGCAUGGUGAGUGGAGUGAUGCUGGCUGGGUUAGUGGCCUGGUGGAGACCUGUUCUACAAUACUGAAGGACAACCUGCAGUCCUCUAACAAAAACAUUAGGACCAAGGGUCAUCUUCCAUGGCAGCUGUGAAUAACUCUCAGUCACAUCAAGUUGGAGAAGUGCUUGCAAGCGCACAAUCUUUCAUUUAUUGUUGUGCAUCAACUCUAUCUUAGAGGCAAUUCAUUGUGCAGCAAGUGGUUGGCAUAAAAAAUUAUAAUUAUUAGAUUAGACAGGCAGAUCAGGGUAGAAGUUAAAGAAAGCUUUAGGUUUAUUUAUUUGCUAUGUAAAUGCUAUUUUUGUUAGGGUUUUACUACUUUUAGGUACUUAAUUUCUUUUUUUUGUGGUACAAUAUUUGCUCGUCCCGUGUAAGGCAAAUUUUGAUGUCUACAUUUUUUGUGCAGAUUGCAAAAUCUAGUCCAAUAAAAAGGGCAUUAUAUGGAUGGUUCUACUAAGGCAAUUUUAGAAAUGAAGUCAUAUCAUGUGCCCCAUGAAAAAUGUGGGGGAAAUUUGGGGCAUCUUCUUGAUAUCUUUCUCCAAGAAUUGCAAGGACAGCAUUAGAGUGUGUUAAGUUCAUAGGUUCAUUCAUACAACACAAACCUCAUAUAAUGACACAGAAUAAAACAUCCAUGCAAUAAGAAACCCAAAGCCAGUUACAGUGGUACAUACAUCAAUACUUUAUUGGAUUACUGAAAAAUCCAUACAAAAACAGUAGGGCAGUUGUUGCAUUGGGAUGACAAGUGUGAGGUAUGUGUAUAUGUCGGAGGGUUGAAACACACAAAAUUGUGUAGCAAUUCUACAUGUUCACAACACAGAUUCCAUCAAGUCAAAGUAUAUAUAGUAUAACAAAUACAAAGCUGACAGAAAGAGAAAAUUUGUUUAGGAUGACAUGUAAGUCAGCUUUGUGUAGCCUAAAAUUCCUUCUCUAAAACAGGCCAAAUUGGUGACGAGAGAGAGUAUAAAAGAACCAUCCCUGCAUCCACAACUUGGGCAUCUGCAUAUAAGAAAAGGCAUUUCUACACUAGUACUUGAUAUAAACCAUGACUUUCUGCAUUGUCUCCUUGAAAUUUGCAAAACAAGUUUUACACAUACACAUAAUACUGCUUGAUCUGUUUUCAUAUUAGUGAUGCUCUCAUGAAGUACAAACACUAAGGUAUCACACAUGUAUACAAAUAUAAAAGAAAGCUAGUUCUUCUCCAUGUACAUGCUUAAAUAUUAGUGCCUAAUUCUGUUGAAAAUUAAUACAGGGAAUAAAUAAUGUACAUACUGAUAGUAAUGGAAGCAACAUAGUUUCUACAGUGCGCAUAUUUAUAACUGACAAUUAUUGGCAUCUUCUAAAUGUACACAUUUGUUACAAAUUUUAGCUCCUAAUCAACAGCAAACAUUAAUAAUAUCCAAGGCGGCAUUCAGGGCAAAAGUUCAACUGACCGCUUCUAGUGACCUUUGACCAACCAUUAAUAUGCUCUAUAUCAUUUCAAGCCCCAGUCAGACAAGUAACUGUUCUAACAACUAUCUUUAAGGUGACGAGCCAAAUUUUGAAUACGUAAAACGUAGUACUAUCAUCAAGUGUUGGUAGUUACAUGUUUAAAGCUAAAACUUUCGAUCCAACACAAAAAGUUCUCACUGGGUCAGUCUGCUGAGAAAGACCAGAGUGUCUGAUCGAAAGCUCUAGGUGAGAGAACUUUUUUUGUUGGAUGGAAAGUUUUAACUUUAAACAUAGAACAUAGUACAUUUAGUUUUAUGUUUGAACAUAUCCAAUGUUGUAAAAAAUGAUAUACUUCCCCACGUUUCUGUGUCAGAAUUUGUCUAGUACAGAUGGACAAAAGUCAGAGAAACUGGUCCAUUUCACUUCAAACUAACACAUCAAAUUCUUCUUUAACUUGCCUUCUAGUAUAUAUACUAGUAUUAGAUAUACAGAACUGAUAUGAAUAUCAGUGUUGUAAAAUGUUUGUUACAAGGAAGCUUGCUGGUGAUUUUUAUAAGGCAGUUCUAAAGUUCUUGCUUCACUCUAGGGCACACACUUAAAUAAAUACAUUAAGUGAUUUGGGUACCAUGCAUUAAAGUAUGUAAAGUUUGGCUCAUAAACAUAGCGAGACUGAAUGUUAUGAACAAUAUAUGGCUAAAAUAAGACAAGCUACAU